RNAcentral lists this ribosomal RNA (426 nucleotides) under uncultured bacterium. RNAcentral describes it as "bacterial SSU rRNA". It matches the Rfam family "Bacterial small subunit ribosomal RNA", at positions 355 to 796 of the family's 1533-position model. The record is from RNAcentral.
UAGGGAAUAUUGCGCAAUGGGGGAAACCCUGACGCAGCGACGCCGCGUGAGUGAUGAAGGCCUUCGGGUUGUAAAGCUCUGUUACAAGGGAAAAAGUUCUGAUUGUACUUUGUGAGAAAGGGACGGCUAACUUCGUGCCAGCAGCCGCGGUAAGACGAGGGUCCCUAGCGUUGCUCGGAAUCAUUGGGCGUAAAGCGGGUGUAGGAGGCUUUUUAAGUCAGGUGUGAAAUCCCAAGGCUCAACCUUGGACGUGCAUUUGAUACUGGAAAGCUUGAGUGCUAGAGAGGUCACUGGAAUUCCUGGUGUAGUGGUGAAAUACGUAGAUAUCAGGAGGAAUACCGGAGGCGAAGGCGGGUGACUGGCUAGACACUGACUCUGAGACCCGAAAGCGUGGGGAUCAAACAGGAUUAGAUACCCCUGUAGUCC